UACGGAGGAUCCGAGUGUUAUCCGGAUUUAUUGGGUUUAAAGGGUGCGCAGGCGGGAGAUUAAGUCGGCGGUGAAAUUUUGCAGCUCAACUGUAAAAGUGCCUUCGAAACUGGUUUCCUUGAGUGUGGAUGAAGUAGGCGGAAUUUGUGGUGUAGCGGUGAAAUGCAUAGAUAUCACGAGGAACUCCGAUUGCGCAGGCAGCUUACUAAACCAUAACUGACGCUCAGGCACAAAGGCGUGGGGAUCAAACAGGAUUAGAUACCCUGGUA
This 269-nucleotide ribosomal RNA is filed under the name uncultured prokaryote. RNAcentral's name for it is "partial 16S ribosomal RNA". It matches the Rfam family "Bacterial small subunit ribosomal RNA", at positions 524 to 792 of the family's 1533-position model. The record is from RNAcentral.